GAGAGAGAUGUAUUUGACAAUAGUUGGUUAGAUUCUUUGCCGGAAUUGAAACCAGUACCCUUAGCUCCGCAUUGUUAGAGAAUGCCUGGAAUAGUGUACUUCGUACCGCUUCCAAGGACAAAUAGCAUGUGUUGCAAGGUGUAAGAUGGAUGUCAUGAAAAAAGUUACUGCCCAGACAUGGAGGGAAGAAAGAGAAAAACAACAUACAUUAAAUAUUAUAAGAAAAAGUAACAGUAUAAGUUUUGCGAUAAAAGGAGGCAUCUAACGGAAUAUUUCAUAUGCAUGUAAUAAAUAUUCAGAUGCUAGUUGUAAGCCAAGCCUUGUUAGAUAAGGAUAAUAAAUUACGAUAAUCCGGUGACGUCGUAGACACUUGUGAAAUCCUCUAUAUUCGUAUAUGACUACUAAUAACCAUCAAACCGCUCGAUUAUCGAUGAAUAAAUAACACUACCAGAAACGGUAUUAGCAUCUUGUGAAUAAUAAAAUAAAAGCUAAAUAAAUCAAAGAAAUACAUGUUCUUAAAGAAGUCUUUAUAGAUCAAUGGAACUAGAUGUAUAUUUUGUCUCUAAGUCAGUUACAGCUUCAGAAAUUCUUCGGUGUUGCUACAAUUUCUAGAUUUAUGACGAGAGAAAUAACUAAAGAACAAGGACAUGUAACAAAAAGAUUUUACCUUAAUUAACUUAAUUAUUUUGAGAUAAAAUUUCCUGGGAUUGAUUUUAAUUGUAAGGCCUUAAUUUUCGGACCUCGAGUAAUACAUCAACAGAACCGAAUUAAUUACGCUACAGAUAAUAAUUAAUUCCUUCAAUAAAGAAAUUCUAAUUGUAAAAUUUUGGCACAAGGCCAGAAAUUUUAUGGGAGGGAGGUGUAAGCCGAUUACAUCGACCCCAGUA
Long non-coding RNA from Octopus sinensis (East Asian common octopus), 887 nucleotides. RefSeq lists it as uncharacterized. The record is from RefSeq and is a predicted model, not a curated record. The transcript has 3 exons. NCBI's taxonomy places the organism in Eukaryota, Metazoa, Mollusca, Cephalopoda, Octopoda, Octopodidae.